ACGGAAGGCAGCAGUGGGGAAUAUUGCACAAUGGGGGGAACCCUGAUGCAGCGACGCCGCGUGAGUGAAGACGUAUUUCGGUAUGUAAAGCUCUAUCAGCAGGGAAGAUGAUGACGGUACCUGACUAAGAAGCACCGGCUAACUACGUGCCAGCAGCCGCGGUAAUACGUAUGGUGCAAGCGUUAUCCGGAUUUACUGGGUGUAAAGGGAGCGUAGGCGGCUAUGCAAGUCAGGUGUGAAAACCCGGGGCUCAACUCCGGGACUGCACUUGGAACUGUGAAGCUCGAGUACGGGAGAGGCAAGUGGAAUUCCUAGUGUAGCGGUGAAAUGCGUAGAUAUUAGGAAGAACACCAGUGGCGAAGGCGACUUGCUGGACCGCAACUGACGCUGAGGCUCGAAAGCGUGGGGAGCAAACAGGAUUAGAUACCCUGGUA
Molecule: ribosomal RNA, 434 nt
Filed under: uncultured Lachnospiraceae bacterium
Lineage: Bacteria; Bacillati; Bacillota; Clostridia; Lachnospirales; Lachnospiraceae
Description: partial 16S ribosomal RNA
Rfam family: Bacterial small subunit ribosomal RNA
Source: RNAcentral